GAUGAACGCUGGCGGCGUGCCUAAUACAUGCAAGUCGAGCGAACAGACGAGGAGCUUGCUCCUCUGACGUUAGCGGCGGACGGGUGAGUAACACGUGGAUAACCUACCUAUAAGACUGGGAUCACUUCGGGAAACCGGAGCUAAUCCCGGAUAAUAUAUUGAACCGCAUGGUUCAAUAGUGAAAGACGGUUUUGCUGUCACUUAUAGAUGGAUCCGCGCCGCAUUAGCUAGUUGGUAAGGUAACGGCUUACCAAGGCAACGAUGCGUAGCCGACCUGAGAGGGUGAUCGGCCACCCUGGAACUGAGACACGGUCCAGACUCCUACGGGAGGCAGCAGUAGGGAAUCUUCCGCAAUGGGCGAAAGCCUGACGGAGCAACGCCGCGUGAGUGAUGAAGGUCUUCGGAUCGUAAAACUCUGUUAUUAGGGAAGAACAAAUGUGUAAGUAACUAUGCACGUCUUGACGGUACCUAAUCAGAAAGCCACGGCUAACUACGUG
Molecule: ribosomal RNA, 497 nt
Filed under: uncultured bacterium
Lineage: Bacteria
Description: partial 16S ribosomal RNA
Rfam family: Bacterial small subunit ribosomal RNA
Source: RNAcentral